CAAAUUAAGAUUGUUAACAACAGAGGAGGAUUGUGUGAAACAAAACCGGUUUGCUCCCCCAUCGUGUAUAUAGUUACUACUACUUAACCAAGGAUCAAGACAUGAUAACCACAACUAAAAGUAAAGCAGUAGUACCAACAUAAACUACUAACAAUAAAACGACAACGUAAAUCUACUGCUAGAGAUAAGACGGGAUAUAAUUCUACCGCUAGAAGUAUAAC
RNAcentral lists this long non-coding RNA (221 nucleotides) under Hordeum vulgare. RNAcentral's name for it is "long non-coding RNA (HVUL_LNC004094)". Lineage: Eukaryota; Viridiplantae; Streptophyta; Magnoliopsida; Poales; Poaceae. The record is from RNAcentral.